UAAUAAGUGUUUUAUGGCACUUUUUAAAUCCAUAUCCACCUUGUGUGCAAUGUCGGUCGAUCUUCUUUUUUUGAGGAUCGACCAAACAUCAACCUUUAUUUUUAACUCUUUGGUCUGAAAAAUAUUAUGAAUAAACAAUUCCAAAAUA
RNAcentral lists this unclassified non-coding RNA (148 nucleotides) under soil metagenome. RNAcentral describes it as "partial internal transcribed spacer 1". The record is from RNAcentral.